CAUCCACUCAACACCUGUGCACACUAUGUAGGCUUAGAUGAGUGUCGAGGCUUUGCUUCGGCAGGAGUCUGGCCUAUGUCUUUAUAAACUCUGUUCAGUAAAUGAAUGUACCUGCGAUAAUCGCAUUUAAUACAACUUUCAGCAACGGAUCUCUUGGCUCUCGCAUCGAUGAAGAACGCAGCGAAAUGCGAUAAGUAAUGUGAAUUGCAGAAUUCAGUGAAUCAUCGAAUCUUUGAACGCACCUUGCGCCCCUUGGUAUUCCGAGGGGCACACCCGUUUGAGUGUCGUGAAAUUCUCAACUCAUACACCUUUGCUGGUGUUUGAGCUUGGACUUGGGGGCUUUGCUGGCUUAUUGUUGGCUCCCCUUGAAUGCAUUAGCUCGAGCCCUUGCGGAUCAGCUAUCGGUGUGAUAAUUGUCUACGCCGUGGUUGUGAUGCCACCUUCGGGUGCUUGAGGGAUUGGCUUCUAAUCGUCCUCUCAGGACAAUUUCUUUUGACAUCUGACCUCAAAUCGGGUGGGACUACCCGCUGAACUUAAGCAUAUCAAUAA
Molecule: ribosomal RNA, 549 nt
Filed under: fungal sp. CZ-2011q
Lineage: Eukaryota; Fungi
Description: eukaryotic LSU rRNA
Rfam family: 5.8S ribosomal RNA (bases 134-287)
Source: RNAcentral